UACGUAGGGGGCAAGCGUUGUCCGGAAUCAUUGGGCGUAAAGCGCGUGUAGGCGGCCCGGUAAGUCCGCUGUGAAAGUCGGGGGCUCAACCCUCGAAUGCCGGUGGAUACUGUCGGGCUAGAGUGCGGAAGAGGCGAGUGGAAUUCCUGGUGUAGCGGUGAAAUGCGCAGAUAUCAGGAGGAACACCGAUUGCGAAGGCAGCUCGCUGGGACGUCACUGACGCUGAGACGCGAAAGCGUGGGGAGCAAACAGG
This 253-nucleotide ribosomal RNA is filed under the name uncultured bacterium. RNAcentral describes it as "partial 16S ribosomal RNA". It matches the Rfam family "Bacterial small subunit ribosomal RNA", at positions 524 to 776 of the family's 1533-position model. The record is from RNAcentral.